Long non-coding RNA from Lycium ferocissimum, 3870 nucleotides. RefSeq lists it as uncharacterized. The transcript is spliced from 4 exons. Lineage: Eukaryota; Viridiplantae; Streptophyta; Magnoliopsida; Solanales; Solanaceae. The record is from RefSeq and is a predicted model, not a curated record.
UGAAUAGGCUCGGCGGGCUCUAGAUCCGCCCCUGCUUCAACCUGCAAACCAGUGAGUUGCAAAGUAUUGUGUGGUUGUAAUGGAUUGGUUCUUCUUGUAGUUACUGAUAGACGUGAUAUACACUUUUUGCUGUGGAACUCCUCCACAAGAGAAUCGAUAGAACUUCCCCGUCCAGAAUCUCGAUUGGGGUAUUAUGUAUUUGGACUGGGAUAUGACGCAACUAGUGAUGACCAUAAGAUCCUUACGGUUAACCUGAAUGAAAGCGAUCGUGACAAAGUAUAAAUUGAAAUUCUCGCGCUAAAAAGUGGUUCUCGGAGAAUAAAUGAUAAAUAUCCUUUUGGCACUGACUGCGUACGGGGUCAUAUUGAUUGUGGUAUGGAUUCUUUGGCAUUUGUACAUGGAUCAUUUCAUUUGCUUGCUACGGAUGUUUCAUUUACUACGCUGCAAACGUUACGGAUGUUUUGGUUCUGUAUUAAGCACAUCUAGAGGACCAUGGCCAGAAUGUGUUACCGUUAAGCAAAGAAUCGCUUAUACAGAGAGCUUGAUCUCUCCUAAAUUACUUAAUAUUUGCUUAUGUAGGAUCAUGACACUUUUUUCCUUUUUACUUUUCUUGAAGAUUGUAUAACCUCUUAUUUACUCUGAUAAAUUUAUCUAUUGCUGCUAAAUAUUGGUCCCCAAUGUAUUUAUCAAAGCUGUGAGCUUACUUAUUUUAUGUUCCCUGAGAAGUGAUUCUUUGCUAAGAAGUGAUUGAAGCUCCCUCUUUUUACCUAUUGCUACUUGUCAAAUUGUACAUAGUAAUUGCUACAACUAAUGCACUGUUUAUUCUGCAGCUGGAGAUCAGUGGAGCGAUUCCUAGCUGUAUUGAUCAUUAAUAAUCUGAUCUGGUUAAUUUAAAAUUGGCAGUCUAGAGUCUCUUACAAUUAUCCAACUUUGUUUUCAAUAUUUCAUCUCAUAUGUCAUUCUCGUAUACAAUCUCUCAUUUAAUCUUGCUGUAUGUCCAAACUUCUGUAUAUCAGCAACACUAAAUUGAGUCUUUGCUAUGGCUAAGAGGUUUAUUCCCGUGGUUUGACUUAAAUUGUUAGUUUUAGACCCCCAGUGAGAAAACUUAGCUGAACAUGCAGGUGCGAUGUUUGGUGGUAAAUAGAAAAAAUGAGUACAAUGCAUGCUAUGUCCCUAAGUUUUCCUAACAGUGUUCGCUGGUCCAGUCACCGGAAUUCCUUGGAACCUUAGAGCAUAUCUGCUCCAGUGAGACAAAGACCAAACACAAAGCCAUCAUCAAUUGUUUCAAUCAUUCUCUUCUCUCCUUUUCAAUGCGUUCUUGAGAAAAUCAAGCUGCUUGAGCUGCCAGCUUUCCAGUGUUUAUCGGAGUUGGAAUGUUGGAUGUUGAUAUGCUAAAGUUUUUCAUCCUUAAAUAUCUAUUUAUUGUGGACUACAGAAUGUGGAUGGACUAUAAUGUAGUAUCUUUGUUUAUGCUUUUUGCUUAUGCUAUAUGUUUGUUGCCUGUUGGGUCAAUUGGAGUCUCACUAAUAAUUGUUUUCCAUGUGCAGAUUACGUGGUUUAUUUUAAUCCUAUGUAAACAUAUUGACUCAGAACAACAAGAAGAAACAUCAGUAAGAGGCCAGCUAAAGCCGACGAAAAAAAAAAACAACAAAUAAACAUAUACACCAUCAGAGCUUUUUAGGAAAGCCAUCAACGGUCGGGGUCACCGAUGUAGCGACGGUUGACGGCGGAAGCGGCCUUCACCCAAGGACAGAUGCAAGAUUCCCUGCUCAGGUUUCACUUUUUCGCAUCUUAAUCUCUCACCAGAUGCCGUGCAAACCAUCGCCAUGGAGUCGAGUCUCUAAGAAUCCAGAUCUAGUCCUACCGGAUACCCCGACAAGUGAAAGGAGAAGUGCUUUAAUGGCUGGUUUACCUAAUAAGGGGAUUCACAUAGCUGAUGAGGUUCAAAUAUGUUGAUCUAUGUUGUGAAAUUUGUUUCCAACUUCUUUAGUUACAGUUACUGAAGGGGAAAAUAUAUAUUCCAGGGCGAGCUUCCUACAAGUUUCCCAACAAACUUAAGCAUUACCCUUCUUUUUGCCGAAAUGCAACUACAAUAACUGUUAAUUCCUUUGCUAUAGUCAUGGCCAAAGAAGAAAGUCACUGCCUAGGUUACUUGAAAGAUUUCUAUGGGAACAAGAAGGGACAGAAAAAGUUAAAGUGCAGUGGUUUCAACAUUUUCAGGAAGUCCACUGUGUAAUUCCUCAGCCCGAGGUACACCCUAGAGAAGUAUUUAUCACGCCUCAUGUUCAGGUGAUCCAUGUUGAGUGUAUCGAUGGUCCUGCUACAGUUUUGACUCCUAGAGAUUACAACAACAACAUACCAGUAUUUUGACUCCUAGAGAUUACGAGAAAUAUAUCUCUCUUGUCCUGAAAAGUUUGUCCGCUGGUGUCUAUAUGUGCUUUAGGGAAUUCAGAAACAACAAAGUCAUGAAUUGGAUGGUUACUACAAUGAAACAAUAUUUAAGUCAAAGGGUCUUAAGUUGCAUGAAGUUAAAGAUAUAACCCGUGAAGAUCCUUCAGGGCAAGGGCCUAGUCGGGGUAGAAGUGACAGGGAGUAUCCGAAACUGGAGAGUCAGAUAGAAAAAGCUGAACCAACUUGCCCGAAGUUAAAAACAAAAUUGCCAAGCAGAGUACCAGUUGGAAUUCAGCUUGUUGAGCCGCAAUGUAUGCGGUCUUUUGAACUUGGUGAUAACUUAGAGGUUCUUAGCCAGGAUAGUGGCAUGAGAGGCUGCUGGUUCAGGUGUAAGGUCUUACAGGUAUUACAAAAAUGUCUGAAAAUUCAAUACGAUGACAUCCUGGACUGUGAUGGUCCUGCAAAGCUGGAGGACCUUAAUCGCUGCGACUAUAACUUCAAGUUUAUAUGCAGUAGUAUUUGUAAUUGGACCUUGGAGAACAUAUACAAAAGUAGAAUUAUCACAAAAACUGAAGUCUCCUAGAUGCCAGCAAUGUCACUUGUAGAAUUGUCUGAAAUCAGUUCUUCUUACCUUCAAGAAAAUCAUUACACCAUCACUUUAUUUAGUUUAAGCACAUUGGCAUCUUGCUUCUUCAUGGAGUGUUGAGAAGUUGACGCCAUUUUUUGUCUUCAGGUGCCACAAGCUUGGGAGCCAUCUGACUUCCGAGGUUCCUGGAUUCUUUGAUACUGCACUUGGAUACCUCAGGUAAAGUCGAGCUUAUGAAUGACUUUACGUCUUUCUUUCCCUUAACUUCAACCCAUUUGUCAUCUAUCCAUAGCUUCAGAGGAAGAAUGUGAGGAUUUCACGAGAUUGGAUAGAUUACAAAUGGGUUGAAGUUACGGGAAAGAAAGACGUAAAGUCGUUCUAAGCUCGAGUUUACCUGAGGUAUCCAAGUGCAGUAUCAAAGAAUCUAGGAACCGCGGAAGUCAGAUGGCUCCCAAGCUUGUGGCAUCUGAAGACAAAAAAAAUGGCGUCAACUUCUCAACACUCGAUGAAGAAGCAAGAUACCAAUGUGCUUAAACUGAAUAAAGUGAUGGUGUAAUGAUUUUCUUGAAGGUAAGAAGAACUGAUUUUAGACAAUUCUACAAGUGACAUUGCUGGCGUCCAGGAGUCUUCAGUUUUUGUGAUAAUGGUGACAUGCUUUUGGUACUGUGGAUAAAUAUUUUGACUUGUAAGUAACUCUCAACGAUGCCCGAUUUGCCUUUUUCAAUAUAUAGGUCUUUGACAACAAAACAUGGAAAAGGCAACUUACAGAACUUAAGGACUAUAGGCAAGUACUCUUCUGUUUAGUAUGUGUUUUGCAUAUUGGCCCAGAAGUUGGUAUGCUCUUGUAUUGUAGACUUUCUUAUUGGAUAUUUAUAAGAGUGUAGCUUUAUGAA